This 164-nucleotide ribosomal RNA is filed under the name uncultured bacterium. RNAcentral's name for it is "partial 16S rRNA". It matches the Rfam family "Bacterial small subunit ribosomal RNA", at positions 355 to 511 of the family's 1533-position model. The record is from RNAcentral.
UAGGAAAUCUUCCACAAUGGGCGAAAGCCUGAUGGAGCAACGCCGCGUGUGUGAUGAAGGCUUUCGGGUCGUAAAGCACUGUUGUAUGGGAAGAACAGCUAGAAUAGGAAAUGGUUCUAGUUUGACGGUACCAUACCAGAAAGGGACGGCUAAAUACGUACCAG